GGUCUUAUGGUGUAGUGGUAUCACAUCAGAUUCUGAUUCUGACAACCUGGGUUCGAUCCCCAGUAAGACCU
Hyphopichia burtonii NRRL Y-1933 is the source of this 71-nucleotide transfer RNA. It matches the Rfam family "tRNA". Rfam says of the family: Transfer RNA (tRNA) molecules are approximately 80 nucleotides in length. Their secondary structure includes four short double-helical elements and three loops (D, anti-codon, and T loops). The record is from Rfam. NCBI's taxonomy places the organism in Eukaryota, Fungi, Ascomycota, Pichiomycetes, Serinales, Debaryomycetaceae.